This 66-nucleotide transfer RNA is filed under the name Callosobruchus maculatus (cowpea weevil). RNAcentral's name for it is "tRNA-Ile". The record is from RNAcentral. RNAcentral also lists the same sequence under 1 other name. Lineage: Eukaryota; Metazoa; Arthropoda; Insecta; Coleoptera; Chrysomelidae.
UGUAAAGUGCCUGAAUAAAGGAUAAUUUUGAUAGAAUUAAUCAUGUGUAAUAUUACACCUUUACAA